GCUUGGCAUGAGCAACAUAAAUAAGUUUACAGAAGACGAAACUACUGCUACAAUUUUUCAUCAUGCUAACUCUUUAUAUCAUUUAUAGAAUAUGACUUCUAUGUUGGAUUGGUUAAUGCUGAGUUUGGUAUAGCAGUCCUAGCUUCAGUGGACGAGGGUUUAUGCCGCCCAGCAGCAGCAGUGUCAAAACUGGGUUAUUGUGCUGUCCCAGAUGCUGCCCAGAUGGUGUAGGAAGUGGCCAGAUCCCAUGUCGCUUCGCGCAUAACAGCUCGUCCUUUAUUCGGAGUGGAACGGACACGGAAUAAUUCAGUGAAAGAGUAUCGAUGUGAUGACACCCUUUUGACGAUGUUGGUCAGGGAACCUGUGAUGAUGUGGUGCAAAAAAUGCUACCGGUAUCACUUUCGUUCCGCUAUUGCACGUGACCCGAGCUAGGACCGCGGACCGCGAACUUGCGGUAGCGGUGAUGAUGCGUAUCCCUCGAAAUUGGUGCUGAGAUGAUGAUAUGUAAAGUAGAAGCUUGUGUGGCAUGGCCUUGUCCUUACUAAGAUACUGCUUAAGCUACACCCAAGGUGACAUGAAUUAUCGACCCCCACAUGAAUAAGGCUGCAGCCAGAACGGAA
Long non-coding RNA from Anopheles gambiae (African malaria mosquito), 620 nucleotides. RefSeq lists it as uncharacterized. The record is from RefSeq and is a predicted model, not a curated record. The transcript has 2 exons. NCBI's taxonomy places the organism in Eukaryota, Metazoa, Arthropoda, Insecta, Diptera, Culicidae.